RNAcentral lists this ribosomal RNA (389 nucleotides) under Didymium dubium. RNAcentral's name for it is "SSU rRNA". It matches the Rfam family "Bacterial small subunit ribosomal RNA", at positions 558 to 930 of the family's 1533-position model. The record is from RNAcentral. Lineage: Eukaryota; Evosea; Eumycetozoa; Physariida; Didymiaceae.
GCGUAGGGUACGUAGGUGGAUAGUAAAAAAUGUAGUAAAAAACUGAGGAUGAACCUCUUAAAGCUAUGUUCACUAACUAUCUUGAGUUUUAUGGGCGAUAUUGAAUUCCUUAAGUAAGGGUUAAAUUGUUGAUAUUGGAAGACAUUCGAAGGCGAAAGCGGUAGUCGACGUAGAUCUGACACUAGGUACUAAAGCAUGGGUAGAAAAAGGAUUAGAGACCUUGUAGUCCAUGCCUUAAACAAUGAGUGUUCAACGUCUAAAUAUGUUAUUGUCACCGCAGUGAUGACAAUACGUCAUACUUAGGGGUUUAUAGCUAACGCGUGAAACACCGCCUGGGGAAUGUGGCCGCAAGGUUAAACUCAAAGGAAUUGACGGAGGCUUGUACAAGG